RNAcentral lists this ribosomal RNA (1509 nucleotides) under Methanosarcina sp. UBA47. RNAcentral's name for it is "bacterial LSU rRNA". It matches the Rfam family "Archaeal large subunit ribosomal RNA", at positions 1429 to 2987 of the family's 2987-position model. The record is from RNAcentral. Lineage: Archaea; Methanobacteriati; Methanobacteriota; Methanomicrobia; Methanosarcinales; Methanosarcinaceae.
AGGGGCCAGGUUUCCUCGGCAAUGUUCGUCAGCCGAGGGUUAGUCGGUCCUAAGACGUACCGUAACUCGAGUACGCCGAAAGGGAAACAGGUUAAUAUUCCUGUACCAUUUAGCAAUUUAGUCUGACGUCUCAGGGCAGGCCGAGCGGAGUCGUCGCUCCGUCUAAGCAGCGAAACCCGUGGAGAGCCGUAAUGGCGAGAAGCGGGUGAAUCUGUGAAUGCGCAAGUCGGUUGCACCCAGGGACCCGUGAAAAGGCUGCUAAAUGUCCGUACCGAGAACUGACACAGGUGCCCCUGGCUGAAAAGGCCAAGGCGUGUCGGAGUAAUUCAGUUAAGGGAAUUCGGCAAAUUAGCUCCGUAACUUCGGGAGAAGGAGUGCCUGCUGUGAAGACAGCAGGUCGCAGUGACCAGGGGGCUCUAACUGUCUAAUACCAACAUAGGAGAUUGCAAACCUGUAAAGGCUAGUACAAUCUCUGAAUCCUGCUCAGUGCAGGUACCUGAAACCCCGGUUCAACGGGAAGAAGGGCCUGUAAACAGCGGGGGUAACUAUGACCCUCUUAAGGUAGCGUAGUACCUUGUCGCUUAAUUGGCGACUUGCAUGAAUGGAUCAAUGAGAGCCCUACUGUCCCUAACUGGAAUCCGGUGAAGCUUACAUUCUAGUGCACAGUCUAGAGACCUCUAGGGGGAAGUGAAGACCCCGUGGAGCUUUACUGCAGCCUGUCGUUGGGUUGUGGUUCUGGAUGUACAGUGUAGGUAGGAGGCGUCGAAGCGGGUGCGCCAGCAUCCGUGGAGCCGUCCAUGGGACACUACCCUUCUGGGACUGCGACCCUAACUCUGAGAAGAGGACCCCGAUAGGUGGGCAGUUUGCCUGGGGCGGGACGCCCUUGAAAAGAUAUCAAGGGCGCGCAAUGGUUGACUCAAGUGGGUCGGAAACUCACUGAAGAGUGUAAGAGCAUAAGUCAGCCUGACGUUAUUCAGCACAGUAGUGGAUGACGAGACGAAAGUCGGCUCUAGCGAACUUUUGUGCCUCCUUGGUGGGGGCCAAAAAUGACAGAAAAGUUACCCCGGGGAUAAUUGAGUCGUUGCCGGCAAGAGUACAUAUCGACCCGGCAGCUUGCUACCUCGAUGUCGGUUCUUUCCAUCCUGGCCGUGCAGCAUCGGCCAAGGGUGAGGUUGUUCGCCUAUUAAAGGAGAUCGUGAGCUGGGUUUAGACCGUCGUGAGACAGGUCGGUUACUAUCUACUAGAGGUGUCUGAGGUCUGCGGGUAAGCUGCUUUUAGUACGAGAGGAACCAAGCAGCGGCGCCACUGGUGUACCGGUUGUUCGACAGGGCAUUGCCGGGCAGCUACGCGCUAAGGAAUAAGAGCUGAAUGCAUCUAAGUUCGAAAUCCGACCUAAAAAGAGACCUCAUUAAGGAUUCCGGUAAAAGACCGGUUUGAUAGAAACGGGAUGUAAGCACCAAGGCAACGAGGUGUUCAGUCCGCGUUUACUAACCAUCCGUUCCUUUCCUA